GUGCUCGCUUCAGCAGCACAUAUGCUAAAAUUGGAACAAUUACAGGGAAGAUUAGCAUGGCACCUGUGCAAGGAAGACGUGCAAAUUCGCGAAGUGUUCCAUAUUUUU
Molecule: small nuclear RNA, 108 nt
Organism: Ochotona curzoniae (black-lipped pika)
Lineage: Eukaryota; Metazoa; Chordata; Mammalia; Lagomorpha; Ochotonidae
Source: RefSeq, a predicted model, not a curated record